AACGAACGCUGGCGGCAUGCCUAACACAUGCAAGUCGAACGAGACCUUCGGGUCUAGUGGCGCACGGGUGCGUAACGCGUGGGAACCUGCCCUUAGGUUCGGAAUAACUCCCCGAAAGGGGUGCUAAUACCGGAUAAUGUCUUCGGACCAAAGAUUUAUCGCCUUUGGAUGGGCCCGCGUUGGAUUAGCUAGUUGGUAGGGUAAAAGCCUACCAAGUCGACGAUCCAUAGCUGGUCUGAGAGGAUGAUCAGCCACACUGGGACUGAGACACGGCCCAGACUCCUACGGGAGGCAGCAGUGGGGAAUAUUGGACAAUGGGCGAAAGCCUGAUCCAGCAAUGCCGCGUGAGUGAUGAAGGCCUUAGGGUUGUAAAGCUCUUUUACCCGGGAUGAUAAUGACAGUACCGGGAGAAUAAGCUCCGGCUAACUCCGUG
Molecule: ribosomal RNA, 433 nt
Filed under: uncultured bacterium
Lineage: Bacteria
Description: partial 16S ribosomal RNA
Rfam family: Bacterial small subunit ribosomal RNA
Source: RNAcentral